CUCAAAGGAAUUGACGGGGGCCUGCACAUGCGGUGGAGCAUGUGGUUUAAUUCGAAGCAACGCGCAGAACCUUACCAGCGUUUGACAUCCUCAUCGCGGAUUUCAGAGAUGAUUUCCUUCAGUUCGGCUGGAUGAGUGACAGGUGCUGCAUGGCUGUCGUCAGCUCGUGUCGUGAGAUGUUGGGUUAAGUCCCGCAACGAGCGCAACCCUCGCCUUUAGUUGCCAGCAUUUGGUUGGGUACUCUAAAGGAACCGCCGGUGAUAAGCCGGAGGAAGGUGGGGAUGACGUCAAGUCCUCAUGGCCCUUACGCGCUGGGCUACACACGUGCUACAAUGGCGACUACAGUGGGCUGCAACCGUGCGAGCGGUAGCUAAUCUCCAAAAGUCGUCUCAGUUCGGAUUGUUCUCUGCAACUCGAGAGCAUGAAGGCGGAAUCGCUAGUAAUCGCGGAUCAGCAUGCCGCGGUGAAUACGUUCCCAGGCCUUGUACACACCGCCCGUCACACCAUGGGAUUUGGAUUCACCCGAAGGCACUGCGUUAACCCGC
Molecule: ribosomal RNA, 545 nt
Filed under: uncultured Sphingomonas sp.
Lineage: Bacteria; Pseudomonadati; Pseudomonadota; Alphaproteobacteria; Sphingomonadales; Sphingomonadaceae
Description: bacterial SSU rRNA
Rfam family: Bacterial small subunit ribosomal RNA
Source: RNAcentral